AGUAUCUAAGAUAAGUUGUUUGUAGCCGUCCUGGUUUUCGCAGUGCCAGGCACUCAACCGACGCUCGAUAAAUAUUUGUUGAAUGAAUGAGCAGUUGACUACUGCGUUCACCCCCUAGAGCUUUCGCUGACACCAAGAGAGCCGGAAGCCGGACUCCAAGGUAAACGUGAUCUCCUGUGGCCACGGUUCAUAGCCUUCAAAGAAGGAACAUUUGUCUUCUGGUAAAUAAAGAACUAAUGCGAAGGAGCCGGGCUCCUCAGAAGUAUCAAGUAGUUUCUUAGGGGAGCCUCUUAGCGAGAAUUAUGUAGCGAGUUCUGACUUGGAAAUCUUAUGUCCCCGAGAAACACCUGGACUCCUCCCCAGCUGAAGAGACUCAGACCCAGCUGAAGAAAUUCAGACAUUCAUGGUCCAGGGGAAAGCCCGCCCCAAAGACUUCCGUUUUUCAGCAGCCCAAAGAGCGUUCCUGCGGGGAAGCGGACGAGGCACAUCCGAAUCUUUCUUGUUCACUAGCUGCAUUGUUCAGACAGAGUCAAACGCAGGGGCUGCACAUUUGAACAGCCCUGAGCUGUUGGCGUCCUCUGAAACUCUCCUCCUGGAACUCACUUCCAUCUGGAGAGACCUCAAGAAUGAAGAUUGGAUCCGAGUCCCAGGGAGCCAAGCAAGACGUUCAGGACUUCCAAAAUACUCAAACUCCCCAUUGGUUUCAGCUAAGCAUUUUUAAAAGCCAGGUCUGACUUCAUACCUUCCUCAGCAAUUCUCCACAUGGACCAUUAGGAGCCUAAGUAUUUUGCACAAAAUUAUUUCAGUCACCUGUGUUUGAGAAAAUUGGAUGAGUGACAUUGUCUAACCACAGGUUUAUUUUAAAUUUAAUACACAUCAGAAUGUUAAUCCUCAUUCAACAUAACUGGAUUUCUACCAAAAUGACUUCAGCUGCCUCAGCCCCACCCCACCCCACCCCCACACAUCCUCCACCCUGCCUCCACCCCUAUCCCACCACCUCGAAUUGAAGGCUUUUUGCAAAACUUGAGGUUUGAAUUUGGACACUGGAUAUUUCAAGUGUGACAAUAAUUGCAAUAAGAGGGUUGGAGGAAAAUGGAAAAUUUUAAUUACAGUUUUCAGGAUGUUUAUUCUUUUUCCUCUGAAGACUGAAGUCCACCCACUUUGUUAUAUCAGAUGGUUAAAUCCCAAUUUGAAAGUCCAUUUAAAUCAUAAAAGCAGAGCUAUUCAAAGUCUUUUAUUAAAAUGUGGCUGAAAAUUAGAGAGUCAACUAGAUGGGUAAGUGGAAUAACAGCAGGAUUCCCAGAAAUACCCUUUUCUUUUUCCUCUGAUAUCUUUUCAGAGGAAACAUUAAGCAUAUUCCACAACCAGGGAUAUUCGAACUUCAAAA
Molecule: long non-coding RNA, 1387 nt
Organism: Bubalus bubalis (water buffalo)
Lineage: Eukaryota; Metazoa; Chordata; Mammalia; Artiodactyla; Bovidae
Exons: 3
Source: RefSeq, a predicted model, not a curated record